CUGUCUCUUAUUUCAUGUAAAGAUAACCUGAUUAAAAAAGCAGCUUUGGGUGGUGAUCUUUCAAAAGCAUAACCCCUUGGCUCAGUGUGAUGCUGCACACUUGUAAUACACACUCCUAAAAGAGAAUAGUAUUAAAAUCCAAUCUGUGGUUCCCUUGAUACCUCCCAUAUAUUCAAAGCUCUUGUAUCAGAGCAUAUUGACAUUACAUUAUUUGCAGUGUCCUUUCCCAUGGCAGUUCUGGGAUGCAGUAAUGUGCUGUGGUGAUCUUUUAUUAUUUUUGCUCUUUUGUGAAGCAGUAAGGGGAACCUUAACCCCACUCUUGCAUUAGGAUACAGGUGUGAGUAUUUUAGCAGUGCCUGUGGUUGGUCAGUGAGUUAUUUUGCGGAAUAAAAAAUGUGGUUUUUAUAACAAAAACUAAUUAGAUUUUUUUCUUUUCUGAGUUAAUGGUGGAUGUAGAGGUGGAGACAGCAUUGAGUCACAACAUGGUUGUCUACAUAGUCAGUUGAAAGCUGGAAAAUAGCACAAAGAUUGGCAGAAGUCAAUUUUUAGGUACAUUGGCCUGGGGAUGUUGGCUCUCAGCCCUCUCCAAAGCCAGUGCCUGCCUGGCAGCCCUUUGGGUGGGACCUCUGCUUUCAGAUGUGAUCAGAAGUGGAAUUCCUUUCAGGUACCGUGUGCUGCAGGGGCUCUCCUGUUUUCUUCUCUUUUAUUUCCUAUUUAUCCAGAUCAAUGACCUGAGAACAAAGAGCAGGCCUGCAUAAUCAUUAUUAAUGCAGAAGGAUGUGUAAAACCAUGAGGAAUUUGUUGUUUCACGCCCCUGCAUCCUCCCAAAAAUCUGCCAUCACAGUCAUUUGCAAAAGGCCUGCAAUCUGCCCUGGCUCAAAUAAAUCCCUUUGGUUUUCCCAUAGCUUUAGAAAAAUAUAUUUAAUAAUAAUUUUCCAUGAGCUGCACCACACACAGGCACAGACACACACACAUAUGCACACUUUUUCUAUUUGCUCUUCACAGAAAUCCUGCCAGCUUGCAGGAGGAGCAGAUAACCCAGCAUUUCUGUCUCCCUAAAUAUGAUUUUGUGAGAAGCAAUUGAACACCGUCAGUAGGUUCCUUCUCAAACAUCCUGUCUAGUUUUCCUCUGAUAUUUUCUUAAUUAAACCCACACUCUCUGGGUCUGGCUCUGCUGUCCUGUGCAAGACCUGCCUGAGGCAGAGCUGCCAUUUCAUUCUGCCAUAAACCUGAGCUCCACAAUCAGCAGAUUAAGCUUAUCCUCCUGACUGGACUCAUUCUCCACACAGAGCUGUGGGGUUUGGCAGUCCUGUGUCCCUCCACAACAGCUUAUCCUGGGCUGUGCCUUACAUCAAAGGUCACAGAGCAAAUCCCUUCCCCAGCCCAGUGCCUCCCCAGGGUAAAGCCUGGCACUCUAAGCCCUUGCAGGCAGUACCAGGUCUGAGGCUGCAGGGGGCUGUGUCACAUGCAAACAUGCAAGAUGGUUAAAUUAAAGCUGUUAAAUAAGCCUUUAAAAGUGAAUGUGAACAUCUUUGAGUUUACAUGUGCAGACAUGGCAGCACCACCCACUGGUGGUCUCCUGGCUGUCAUCUUCCACAUGUGAUGCUUCCAAAUCAGAGUUGGAAGGGUUUCUAUCUAAAUGUAAAGCAAUUAGUGUCUCCCAGACUCACCAGCUCAAACACUGGGUGACCCCAGUGAAACAGCUCCAUGCCCAGCCCAGCCUGGUGAGGGGGCUUGGCCUUGGGUGGCUUGGGUGGCCUCUGGUAGCACAUCCCCCUCCACCCAGAAACACACACAGACACAACUGUUGUAGGAUGCUGGCCUGGAUCCAGACAGAGCCCCCUCUCCAGGUGACCGUUCAGUCACCUCUUUGACUCGUGCAAGUGUUCUUCUGGCUCCAGCCAGCACGGGAAAUGUGCCACUUUAUGGGCUGGGGCAGCUGGCAGGGCAGCCGUGCCCAAUCCCAGGGUCCCAGCCGGGCAGGAGCAGGGCACACGUGCUUGGAAGGGCAGCUCAGGCUCUGGAUUGCUUUGAGAGCAAGUUCCCAAAUCCUGCAAAGCUAUUUAACAAAGCCCUUUUGAGAUCCACUGGCAUCCUCCCGUGGUGGGGGAUCUGCAGCCUAUAUAUAUAUACAUAUGUAUAUCUCUGUGUGACUGUAUAUAUACAUUUAUGCACAAUAUGUGUGUGCAUAUGUAUGUGUGUGUCCAGUUUGGGGAGAUGCAUUAAGAAAAUCUUCUAUUUAAUGAAAUAGUGAUAAAGAAACCAGCGAUUCUGCCAAGAACCAGUGCUCUUCCAGAUCAAGCCCCUUCCAUUCUGCAUGCUUUGUAAAGGAUUUAAUUUGUUUCCAACUUAAUUUAAUUCAAUUCCUUUCUUUAUCAGGUUUUUUUUUUUUUACAAAGCAAGACUUACUUCCCAUCUGAAUCAAGUCAUUGACCUUCCAAACAUUUUCUCAUUGUGAAAAAUGGAAUCUGAGUUGUCCCAUUCUUUUAGAGACACAAACCAAAUGGAAUCAAGAUUGUCCCAUUCUUUUAGAAACACAAACCAACUUUUAAUCUCAUUUUCUUUUCAUAUUACAGUCUAUGAGAUACUGUUAGGCAUUCCUUUAUGUUCCUUUUAACUACUGUAGUUAAAUCAAAAUGUUGAGUUCAGAUUUCAGUACAGCUGGGUUUUUUGGGCCGUUGCUGUGAACACAAAGAAUCCUCUUUAUUUUCUUUGCCUUUUUUUAAGCUAUUCUGUACUAUUAUUUUUAACCAUUUGAACUGUUUAUUUAAUAUUUAUUCUACACUUUAUAUUGAAGAUGUAAAGUUUAUAUUUAAAACAACACUGUUUGUUAGUGAAUGCUUCUCUUUGCCUCUCCAGCCUAGUCUGUUAGUCUCAGUGUACAUUUCUGGCAUGGGAAUAUUUUGAUAUUAGGAGUUUUGUAGCCUUUUCUCCCUCAAGCAGCAACUGAUGUAGAUCUAAGGUCACCACCUGACCCAGCCCAGGUCGCUCGAGCUUCGCUUCCUCCGUUUGUUGGCUUCUCUCGCAGUCCCUCCUGUGUCCCAUCCUUUCAUCCACAGACUGCUUUGUACAGUUACUACACAUCAAAAAGCCCUUUCUACAGUAGGUGGGUUUUGGUCUUUUUAUACUUUUCUCAAUGCUGUUGAUGUCUGUUACUGUUCAAUGUGUAGAUCUGUAAGGAGAGAUCCAAAUAUUACGUGUUUCAGUUCGAUGUCCCUACUGUAGAUGGAUGUAGACUAUCAUAGUAAGUAGAACUGCAUAGUGAAUUCUGAAUGCUUUUUCCAUAAGGAGUUAAGUGGAAUGUGAACAUUUUGCUACCUUUGGUUAACUGUAAAUGCUUAACUGUAGUCUGAAAUAGUUGCAUUUUUGUCUGUCUCAAUAAAUUUUAAUUUGUCUGCGA
Molecule: long non-coding RNA, 3400 nt
Organism: Vidua macroura (Pin-tailed whydah)
Lineage: Eukaryota; Metazoa; Chordata; Aves; Passeriformes; Viduidae
Exons: 2
Source: RefSeq, a predicted model, not a curated record